AGAGUUUGAUCAUGGCUCAGGAUUAACGUUGGUAGCAUGCCUAACAUAUGCAAGUCGAGCGAAAAGUAGUAGCAAUAUUACUUUUAGCGGCGUACGGGUGAGUAAUGCUUAUCUUACCUACCGUUUAGUGGGGGAUAAAAUACCGCAUAUUCUGGCUUUGGCCAGGAAAGGAAGCCGCAAGGAUUUCGCUAAAUGACGGGGAUAAGUCGCAUCAGCCGAUGAAAGUAGGGUAAUGGCCUACUGAGGCAAAGACGCGUAGCCGGGCUGAGAGGCUGAUCGGUCACAAGGGAACUGAAACACGGUUCCUACUCCUACGGGAGGCAGCAAUGGGGAAUCGUCGGCAAUGGGGGAAACCCUGACCGCGCAAUGCUACGUGAAGGAAGAAGGUCUACGGAUUGUAAACUUCUUUACCAGAGGGUACUGACGUAAGGAUUGCCCUUUGGCAAAAAGUCACGACUAACUACGUGCCAGCAGUCGCGGUAAGACGUAGGUGGCGAACGUUAUCCGGAAUUAUUGGGCGUAAAGGGUGCGUAGGUGGCCUGGCAAGUUAUCAGUGGCAAAUCGAGGCCCAACCUCGUGGAAACUGGCAAUACUGCUUGGCUUGAGUGCAGGAGAGGUUAACGGAACUCUAUGUGGAGCGGUAAAAUGCACAGAUAUAUAGAAGAACAUCNUAACGGCGAAGGCAGUUAACUAUUCUGUUACUGACACUGAGGCACGAAAGCGUGGGGAGCAAAACGGAUUAGAUACCCUAGUAGUCC
RNAcentral lists this ribosomal RNA (758 nucleotides) under uncultured bacterium. RNAcentral describes it as "bacterial SSU rRNA". It matches the Rfam family "Bacterial small subunit ribosomal RNA", at positions 8 to 796 of the family's 1533-position model. The record is from RNAcentral.